AAGCAAUCAUACUGUGAAACUGCGAAUGGCUCAUUAAAUCAGUUAUCGUUUAUUUGAUAGUACCUUUACCUGGAUAACCGUGGUAAUUCUAGAGCUAAUACAUGCUAAAAACCCCGACUUCGGAAGGGGUGUAUUUAUUAGAUAAAAAACCAAUGCCCUUCGGGGCUCCUUGGUGAUUCAUAAUAACUUAACGAAUCGCAUGGCCUUGCGCCGGCGAUGGUUCAUUCAAAUUUCUGCCCUAUCAACUUUCGAUUGUAGGAUAGAGGCCUACAAUGGUCUUAACGGGUAACGGGGAAUUAGGGUUCUAUUCCGGAGAGGGAGCCUGAGAAACGGCUACCACAUCCAAGGAAGGCAGCAGGCGCGCAAAUUACCCAAUGCUGAUCCAGCGAGGUAGUGACAAUAAAUACUGAUACGGGGCUCUUUCGGGUCUCGUAAUUGGAAUGAGUACAAUCUAAAUCCCUUAACGAGGAACAAUUGGAGGGCAAGUCUGGUGCCAGCAGCCGCGGUAAUUCCAGCUCCAAUAGCGUAUAUUAAAGUUGUUGCCGUUAAAAAGCUCGUAGUUGAACCUUGGACCUGGCUGAUCUGUCCUCCUAAUCGAGCGCACGGAUUCGGUCGGGUCUUUCCUUCUGGGGAGCCCCAUGCCCUUCACUGGGUGUGGUGGGGAACCAGGACUUUUACCUUGAAAAAAUUAGAGUGUUCAAAGCAGGCCUUUGCUCGAAUACAUUAGCAUGGAAUAAUAGAAUAGGACAUCGGUUCUAUUUUGUUGGUUUCUAGGACCGCUGUAAUGAUUAAUAGGGAUAGUCGGGGGCGUCAGUAUUCAAUUGUCAGAGGUGAAAUUCUUGGAUUUAUUGAAGACUAACUACUGCGAAAGCAUUCGCCAAGGAUGUUUUCAUUAAUCAGUGAACGAAAGUUAGGGGAUCGAAGACGAUCAGAUACCGUCGUAGUCUUAACCAUAAACUAUGCCGACUAGGGAUCGGACGGUGGUUUUUUUAUGCCCCGUUCGGCACCUUACGAGAAAUCAAAGUUUUUGGGCUCGGGGGGGGAGUAUGGUCGCAAGGCUGAAACUUAAAGAAAUUGACGGAA
Molecule: ribosomal RNA, 1083 nt
Filed under: Herpotrichiellaceae sp.
Lineage: Eukaryota; Fungi; Ascomycota; Eurotiomycetes; Chaetothyriales; Herpotrichiellaceae
Description: SSU rRNA
Rfam family: Eukaryotic small subunit ribosomal RNA
Source: RNAcentral